AUUGAACGCUGGCGGCAUGCCUUACACAUGCAAGUCGAACGGCAGCACGGGAGCAAUCCUGGUGGCGAGUGGCGAACGGGUGAGUAAAGUAUCGGAACGUGCCCAGUCGUGGGGGAUAACGUAGCGAAAGUUACGCUAAUACCGCAUACGAUCUAUGGAUGAAAGCGGGGGAUCGCAAGACCUCGCGCGCUUGGAGCGGCCGAUAUCAGAUUAGGUAGUUGGUGGGGUAAAGGCUCACCAAGCCGACGAUCUGUAGCUGGUCUGAGAGGACGACCAGCCACACUGGGACUGAGACACGGCCCAGACUCCUACGGAAGGCAGCAGUGGGGAAUUUUGGACAAUGGGCGAAAGCCUGAUCCAGCCAUGCCGCGUGCAGGAUGAAGGCCUUCGGGUUGUAAACUGCUUUUGUACGGAACGAAAAGGUUUGGGCUAAUAAGCUGAGCUCAUGACGGUGCCGUAAGAAUAAGCACCGGCUAACUACGUGCCAGCCGCCGCCGUAA
This 500-nucleotide ribosomal RNA is filed under the name uncultured bacterium. RNAcentral describes it as "partial 16S ribosomal RNA". It matches the Rfam family "Bacterial small subunit ribosomal RNA", at positions 30 to 523 of the family's 1533-position model. The record is from RNAcentral.